Molecule: ribosomal RNA, 1642 nt
Filed under: Campylobacter jejuni
Lineage: Bacteria; Pseudomonadati; Campylobacterota; Epsilonproteobacteria; Campylobacterales; Campylobacteraceae
Description: partial 23S ribosomal RNA
Rfam family: Bacterial large subunit ribosomal RNA
Source: RNAcentral
CAUGAGUAGCGAUAAUUAAUGUGAGAAUCAUUAACGCCGUAAACCCAAGGUUUCCUACGCGAUGCUCGUCAUCGUAGGGUUAGUCGGGUCCUAAGUCGAGUCCGAAAGGGGUAGACGAUGGCAAAUUGGUUAAUAUUCCAAUACCAACAUUAGUGUGCGAUGGAAGGACGCUUAGGGCUAAGGGGGCUAGCGGAUGGAAGUGCUAGUCUAAGGUCGUAGGAGGUUAUACAGGCAAAUCCGUAUAACAAUACUCCGAGAACUGAAAGGCUUUUUGAAGUCUUCGGAUGGAUAGAAGAACCCCUGAUGCCGUCGAGCCAAGAAAAGUUUCUAAGUUUAGCUAAUGUUGCCCGUACCGUAAACCGACACAGGUGGGUGGGAUGAGUAUUCUAAGGCGCGUGGAAGAACUCUCUUUAAGGAACUCUGCAAAAUAGCACCGUAUCUUCGGUAUAAGGUGUGGUUAGCUUUGUAUUAGGAUUUACUCCGAAAGCAAGGAAACUUACAACAAAGAGUCCCUCCCGACUGUUUACCAAAAACACAGCACUCUGCUAACUCGUAAGAGGAUGUAUAGGGUGUGACGCCUGCCCGGUGCUCGAAGGUUAAUUGAUGGGGUUAGCAUUAGCGAAGCUCUUGAUCGAAGCCCGAGUAAACGGCGGCCGUAACUAUAACGGUCCUAAGGUAGCGAAAUUCCUUGUCGGUUAAAUACCGACCUGCAUGAAUGGCGUAACGAGAUGGGAGCUGUCUCAAAGAGGGAUCCAGUGAAAUUGUAGUGGAGGUGAAAAUUCCUCCUACCCGCGGCAAGACGGAAAGACCCCGUGGACCUUUACUACAGCUUGACACUGCUACUUGGAUAAGAAUGUGCAGGAUAGGUGGGAGGCUUUGAGUAUAUGACGCCAGUUGUAUAUGAGCCAUUGUUGAGAUACCACUCUUUCUUAUUUGGGUAGCUAACCAGCUUGAGUUAUCCUCAAGUGGGACAAUGUCUGGUGGGUAGUUUGACUGGGGCGGUCGCCUCCCAAAUAAUAACGGAGGCUUACAAAGGUUGGCUCAGAACGGUUGGAAAUCGUUCGUAGAGUAUAAAGGUAUAAGCCAGCUUAACUGCAAGACAUACAAGUCAAGCAGAGACGAAAGUCGGUCUUAGUGAUCCGGUGGUUCUGUGUGGAAGGGCCAUCGCUCAAAGGAUAAAAGGUACCCCGGGGAUAACAGGCUGAUCUCCCCCAAGAGCUCACAUCGACGGGGAGGUUUGGCACCUCGAUGUCGGCUCAUCGCAUCCUGGGGCUGGAGCAGGUCCCAAGGGUAUGGCUGUUCGCCAUUUAAAGCGGUACGCGAGCUGGGUUCAGAACGUCGUGAGACAGUUCGGUCCCUAUCUGCCGUGGGCGUAAGAAGAUUGAAGAGAUUUGACCCUAGUACGAGAGGACCGGGUUGAACAAACCACUGGUGUAGCUGUUGUUCUGCCAAGAGCAUCGCAGCGUAGCUAAGUUUGGAAAGGAUAAACGCUGAAAGCAUCUAAGCGUGAAGCCAACUCUAAGAUGAAUCUUCUCUAAGCUCUCUAGAAGACUACUAGUUUGAUAGGCUGGGUGUGUAAUGGAUGAAAGUCCUUUAGCUGACCAGUACUAAUAGAGCGUUUGGCUUAUCUUUAAUAAAGCAU